This 253-nucleotide ribosomal RNA is filed under the name uncultured bacterium. RNAcentral describes it as "partial 16S ribosomal RNA". It matches the Rfam family "Bacterial small subunit ribosomal RNA", at positions 524 to 776 of the family's 1533-position model. The record is from RNAcentral.
UACGUAGGGUGCGAGCGUUGUCCGGAUUCAUUGGGCGUAAAGAGCUCGUAGGCGGCCACUCAAGUCGAAUGUGAAACCUCGAGGCUUAACCUCGAGCCUGCAUUCGAUACUGGGCGGCUAGAGUCUGGUAGGGGGAUCUGGAAUUCCUGGUGUAGCGGUGGAAUGCGCAGAUAUCAGGAGGAACACCGGUGGCGAAGGCGGGAUCCUGGGCCAGUACUGACGCUGAGGAGCGAAAGCGUGGGGAGCAAACAGG